AAAAUGUCAACUUUACAAUGUAAUUUAUACCAUACCCAAAAUGGGGGGGAAAGUUCUAAAAUAAUUAUAAAUUAAAUAUAAUGGUUGGUUCAUUUUAGGACUAAAGAAAAUGGUUUUACACAUUUCAGCGUAUACAAUCUAGUUUACUAAUAUGAACAUAUAUCUGGUUAAGGAUAUGUAGUGCUCAGGAGUAGCUGAGACAUGGGAGUCAAAUUUCUACGUUAUCCAGUAACAAGCCUUCCCCUAACAGCUGUCAUUGAACUGGACUCAACUGGACUAGCUAGCUAAGCAAGGAGUGGUGGUAACUUUCAACAUGGAUACAUAACAGGGCCAUGUAUGUCAAACAAAGUGUGUCACAAUUUGUAAUAGUAUUUUAUCACAUUAAGGUAAAUAUAAGUUUAUUAAAAUGUAUGAUUCUCUCGGUUGUAGAAACAUGUUUGAUAGUCUGGGCACAUGAUAAGGCUUAAUAUCAAAGGACCAGGCCGAGCGUGCAGUCAUGUCGGGACAUGUCCCUGCCGUACACACCAAUGGAGAGCUAACACAGAGCCUGAUGACAACAAACCCAAGUUUCUGGAACAGUCUGGGAGGACCCUGAACCUGCUGAGGCCACAGCUUUUGACACAACCUGUCUCCUGUCGACUUUCCUGUCUAGAAGUGCAAUUACGGGGAGACCAAGGCACGUUUUGAAUAAAAAAUGAUUACAGCCCUACGUAGGAUUUCGGUGUAUCAUCUGCGUUGCACAUGGCGUAAGCAUCGGUGAGACCAGUGGGAUGUAAACAGAAGUGCCCUGCCUGAGAUACAGUCUGGCAGGUCCGCCCGCAGAGACAUAAGCAUCAGGCUGUGUCAUGCAAACUGUGACCCUUCCCACUAUGUCUGGGCACACAGUGUCAGUCUGAAUCUGUCCAUGUAUCAGUUUCUGAGUCAACAUGGCUUCUGGGAAAAUAACACUCUCUCAUUAAUCACAUUGUACGCAUCCCCCCUCUGGCCGAUCAACUCUACAUAGACUGGCUUAGAGAAUAUGUGUCUAUGGCUUGUGAAUAUAAUGCCCGGGUGACAUUUAACAUCAUUUAUGAUUUUAGGGGUAUUACUAAAUUAUUUAGUGGCAUUACCACUUUCUCUGACAACCAUGGUGUACGAAAGGGACCACUUGAACAACAAUACAAAUCAAAUACAUAGAGAAAAGCCCACUUACUUCUUC
Molecule: long non-coding RNA, 1198 nt
Organism: Sander lucioperca (pikeperch)
Lineage: Eukaryota; Metazoa; Chordata; Actinopteri; Perciformes; Percidae
Exons: 3
Source: RefSeq, a predicted model, not a curated record